UCUACACACAGGAAAUGAACUCUCUAACCUAGGAAGUGACCAGGUAAAAAUAUGUCAAGAUAAACUUCAAUAGGACUGCUCAAUCACCCAAAGUCCUGAUACACCUACAACUCAUUAAGUGUAGCUGGCCAGGUGUAUUAGACAGAAGCUGUAUGUAACCUCUUCAAUAGUCAGAGGAUGUCAAAAGGCCUUACUUUGGUUACUGGGACCUGGAAUGAUUGCCAGAAGACAAGGGUGUGAGAGCGUGGGAAGCACUCUGGAAAUGCUUUACCUCCAGGUGUCCCUUCCAAAGAUAUGGUCAAAAACAAAGAGAUCAGCACAAACGAACACAGGUGGAUCUUUUCAGGAGUAUAAGAAACUGGGUUACCUUUGAAUGACCUUGACCUCUGACCCAUUGGUAUUCUGAUGUUAGUAACACCUGUUUCCAUGAAUCUGCUCUAGAAGCUGGCCUAUAGAUGCACAUGAAACACCUGAGGCAGACAAAGGAAGGGUGCUGAAGGACUGAUGAUCUGUGGUCAGCCAUUAUGGGGAGACAUUUUGGCACUAACGAUAAGGUCAUACGUUGACGGUAAAGCACACCAAAUAAGCUAUCCUGAUUGGUUGAGUAUCUGUGGUGAAGAAGACCUGGAGGACGGCCUGGAGGGAGUCGGUUUAUGGGGUGGAGGAGUCAUGUUUUAUAUCCCAGUAAUGAAUUGCUUUCCAGGAGGAGGUGACGUUCAUAGGUGAUCUGGGGAUAGUUUAUGUGGACUGGGAUAUCAUCUUAAAUCACCUCUUACAUUCAAAGCUGUGGCCAAUAUGCUUUAUGAAGUAAGGAAAGUUUAAGAUAGGGAAUCAUAUAUGGCAUUGAAAGACAUGAAAUAUGUACGGCACUAGGUGAAUGUCAGCUUAACAUCUUAUUACAUAAUAAAUGGAAAACAUAUUAGCACUCAAAACUGACAUUAAGGUUUCCUUAGAAGUGUAUGUUAUGAGCCCUCUAGUGGUUCCCUAUAAACUAAGUUUUCCCCUUAUUAGCUUUGAAUAAAUACUAAUAGAUUCGAGGUGGAGGUCAAAUUUUGAAAUAAUAAUGUGUUUAAGAGAGCAAACAGAUAUUUUGAGGAGUAAAAGCAUAGCUAGGAAUUGUGCAUAUGAAACUUCUCAGAAUCAAGAUAUUAAGUUAUUGUUGGUUACAAUUGUGAAAUGAUUGAUGAAGAUGCUCAGAAGAUGCAAUCGUCAUGCAGAAGUAAUUAUACACACCACACAAACUACAAACAUUAUCAUGAAAUAUGUGGAAGACAGAAAAUUGCAUCAAAUUGCAAACCAAAAGGAAAGCAAGCUAAAUUAGGUGCAACAAAGGUCCUG
RNAcentral lists this long non-coding RNA (1338 nucleotides) under Mizuhopecten yessoensis (Yesso scallop). RNAcentral describes it as "uncharacterized LOC110455633, transcript variant X1". The record is from RNAcentral. Lineage: Eukaryota; Metazoa; Mollusca; Bivalvia; Pectinida; Pectinidae.